Molecule: ribosomal RNA, 465 nt
Filed under: uncultured bacterium
Lineage: Bacteria
Description: partial 16S ribosomal RNA
Rfam family: Bacterial small subunit ribosomal RNA
Source: RNAcentral
CUACGGGGUGCACCAGUGGGGAAUAUUGGACAAUGGGGGAAACCCUGAUCCAGCAAUGCCGCGUGUGUGAAGAAGGCCUGCGGGUUGUAAAGCACUUUCGGUUGGGAGGACUGCUUCUAGCACUAAUAUUGUUGGAAGUUGACGUUACCUUCAGAAGAAGCACCGGCUAACUCCGUGCCAGCAGCCGCGGUAAUACGGAGGGUGCAAGCGCUAAUCGGAAUUACUGGGCGUAAAGCGCGCGUAGGCGGCUAGAUCAGUCGGGUGUGAAAGCCCCGGGCUUAACCUGGGAACUGCAUCCGAUACUGUCUAGAUUGAGUACAGGAGAGGAGAGUGGAAUUCCACAUGUAGCGGUGAAAUGCGUAGAUAUGUGGAGGAACACCAAUGGCGAAGGCAGCUCUCUGGCCUGAUACUGACGCUGAGGUGCGAAAGCGUGGGGAGCAAACAGGAUUAGAUACCCGAGUAGUC